UCUAACUCUGCUUAGCCCAUGAUGGUAUUUGGUGAGUGAUUUCUCCCAGUCCUUAUCUCAACUUGUGAACCCUUACUUAUAUUUUCUCUUCCCUGCACAGCUCCAGAGAAGACUGAGAGUGGCUUUGGUGGGUGUCUGGCAUCCAGCCAGCAGCAACCCACUAGACUGCAUCACAAAUUUGGGCCCAUGUCCAUCUUUGAAGUGCAAAUAAUGAUCUAGAUUGCAUCUCCUGCUUUGUUUGGGCUCUUUGACCUACGUGGAGUGAGUUGCUCCAGCUGAUACGAUUAUCUCAGUAUUUACCCCAGCUAAGGGCUGGCCUUCAUCACCUUCAGCAGGGAGGGUGCCUCUUCAGCUUGUCUGAUCCAGCACUGACCUGUCUGCUGUCAGGAAAACCCACAGAAGUAUGGGCCUGGCUCAGAGGAUCACAACCAACAAGCAAUACUCUGCCUGGAGGAUGCAACAAGAUAGGCACUGCAGGGGUCUGUCUUUAGGCCUGUGCUGCCUGACAUCGUUCUGAAUACCUGAAGGAGGUGCCAAAGGGCACC
RNAcentral lists this long non-coding RNA (545 nucleotides) under Cyanistes caeruleus (blue tit). RNAcentral describes it as "lncRNA (ENSCCEG00000003320.1)". Lineage: Eukaryota; Metazoa; Chordata; Aves; Passeriformes; Paridae. The record is from RNAcentral.